GGCCCCCUUAAUGCCCCCUGGUUUAGGUGCAAAAGGUGGUGGUGUCAGAUAAGUGUCAUGAGUGGUGUGUGGAUGUACACGGUCCAGUUCAGAUGAGUCUUUACCUGAUAUCGGCCCAAUGACCUUGACGAUGCGGAAUAGUUCAUCAGCAGAUGCAGCAGCCACCGGCCUCUAGCUCCAGCACCACCUCGUUGUCACCGCAGAUGCAGCAGCAAAAAAAAAAACACAAUUGUAUACAUAAUUUGUGUGUAUCACUUUAGUAAUCUACCCAGCACUGUUUUAGUUCAGUUUGGACUUUGACUUAAUUUGCACAAUUCCCCUGCCCGCAUUUGUCACCAUGGUUACUAAUUUGAUUUUUGAUCCCAUUCAGCUGUGUCACCUCGUUAUCCUGUGUAUUUAAGUUCCUAUGUUUUAAGUUUUAGUCAUCCGGUCUUGUCUAUGUUACUGCAGUGUUGUGC
Molecule: long non-coding RNA, 458 nt
Organism: Sinocyclocheilus rhinocerous
Lineage: Eukaryota; Metazoa; Chordata; Actinopteri; Cypriniformes; Cyprinidae
Exons: 3
Source: RefSeq, a predicted model, not a curated record